GAUGAAGAACGUAGCGAAAUGCGAUAAGUAGUGUGAAUUGCAGAAUUCAGUGAAUCAUCGAAUCUUUGAACGCACAUUGCGCCCCUUGGUAUUCCAUGGGGCAUGCCUGUUCGAGCGUCAUUUGUACCUUCAAGCUCUGCUUGGUGUUGGGUGUUUGUCUCGCCUCUGCGUGUAGACUCGCCUCAAAACAAUUGGCAGCCGGCGUAUUGAUUUCGGAGCGCAGUACAUCUCGCGCUUUGCACUCAUAACGACGACGUCCAAAAGUACAUUUUUACACUCUUGACCUCGGAUCAGGUAGGGAUACCCGCUGAACUUAAGCAUAUCAAUAAGCCGAGGA
RNAcentral lists this unclassified non-coding RNA (337 nucleotides) under soil metagenome. RNAcentral describes it as "partial contains 5.8S ribosomal RNA, internal transcribed spacer 2, and large subunit ribosomal RNA". The stretch from base 1 to 120 matches the Rfam family "5.8S ribosomal RNA", at positions 35 to 154 of the family's 154-position model. The record is from RNAcentral.